GAAAGGUCGGGUAUUUAUCCGGCUGGAUGUACCGAAUGUGUAUAUCCCAUUUAGG
This 55-nucleotide non-coding RNA is filed under the name unclassified sequences. RNAcentral describes it as "S4-Clostridia ribosomal protein leader". It matches the Rfam family "S4-Clostridia ribosomal protein leader". The record is from RNAcentral.